Molecule: ribosomal RNA, 261 nt
Filed under: uncultured bacterium
Lineage: Bacteria
Description: partial 16S ribosomal RNA
Rfam family: Bacterial small subunit ribosomal RNA
Source: RNAcentral
GAUCCUACGGGGCGCAGCAGUGAGGAAUAUUGGUCAAUGGGCGGUAGCCUGAACCAGCCAAGUAGCGUGAAGGAUGAAGGUUCUAUGGAUUGUAAACUUCUUUUAUAAAGGAAUAAAGUGAGUCACGUGUGCCUUUUUGUAUGUACUUUAUGAAUAAGGAUCGGCUAACUCCGUGCCAGCAGCCGCGGUAAUACGGAGGAUCCGAGCGUUAUCCUGAUUUAUUGGGUUUAAAGGGAGCGUAGAUGUGUUGUUCAGUCAGGU